RNAcentral lists this transfer RNA (58 nucleotides) under Loxodonta africana (African savanna elephant). It matches the Rfam family "tRNA", at positions 7 to 64 of the family's 71-position model. From Rfam's summary of the family: Transfer RNA (tRNA) molecules are approximately 80 nucleotides in length. Their secondary structure includes four short double-helical elements and three loops (D, anti-codon, and T loops). Further hydrogen bonds mediate the characteristic L-shaped molecular structure. tRNAs have two regions of fundamental functional importance: the anti-codon, which is responsible for specific mRNA codon recognition, and the 3' end, to which the tRNAs corresponding amino acid is attached (by aminoacyl-tRNA synthetases). tRNAs cope with the degeneracy of the genetic code in two manners: having more than one tRNA (with a specific anti-codon) for a particular amino acid; and 'wobble' base-pairing, i.e. permitting non-standard base-pairing at the 3rd anti-codon position. The record is from Rfam by way of RNAcentral. Lineage: Eukaryota; Metazoa; Chordata; Mammalia; Proboscidea; Elephantidae.
GUGGUUCAGUGGUAGAAUUCUUGCCUUCCAUGCAGAGAACCCAGGUUCAAUUCCUGGC